Molecule: small nuclear RNA, 107 nt
Organism: Peromyscus eremicus (cactus mouse)
Lineage: Eukaryota; Metazoa; Chordata; Mammalia; Rodentia; Cricetidae
Source: RefSeq, a predicted model, not a curated record
GUGUUCUCAUCCAGCAGCACAUAUACUAAAAUUGGAACAAUUCAAAGAAGACUAGCAUGGCCUCUGCACAAGAACGACACACUGACUCAUACAUGGUCCAUAUUAAA